UGGGGAAUAUUGCGCAAUGGGCGAAAGCCUGACGCAGCAACACCGCGUGAGGGAUGACGGCCUUCGGGUUGUAAACCUCUUUCAGCUCCGACGAAGCGAAAGUGACGGUAGGAGCAGAAGAAGCACCGGCUAACUACGUGCCAGCAGCCGCGGUAAUACGUAGGGUGCAAGCGUUGUCCGGAAUUAUUGGGCGUAAAGAGCUCGUAGGCGGUCCGUUGCGUCUGCCGUGAAAACCCGGAGCUCAACUCCGGGCCUGCGGUGGAUACGGGCGGACUAGAGUCCGGUAGGGGAGACUGGAAUUCCUGGUGUAGCGGUGGAAUGCGCAGAUAUCAGGAGGAACACCGGUGGCGAAGGCGGGUCUCUGGGCCGGAACUGACGCUGAGGAGCGAAAGCGU
Molecule: ribosomal RNA, 395 nt
Filed under: uncultured bacterium
Lineage: Bacteria
Description: bacterial SSU rRNA
Rfam family: Bacterial small subunit ribosomal RNA
Source: RNAcentral